CCCUUAGAUGUUCUGGGCCGCACGCGUGCUACACUGAGUGGAUCAGCGGGUCAGGUUGCGCGAAAGUGUUUCCUAAUCUUUAAAUCCGCUCGUGAUGGGGAUUGACGGUUGCAAUUUUCCGUCAUGAACGAGGAAUACCUUGUAAGCGCGGGUCAUCAUCCCGCGCUGAAUACGUCCCUGCCCUUUGUACACACUGCCCGUCGCUCCUACCGAUUGAGUGGUCCGGUGAGGCUUUGGGAUCUGAGCGGAAAGAGCGUUUCGCUGUUUCUGCCCGGAAAACUCAGUCGAACCUUAUCAUUUAGAGGAAGGAGAAGUCGUAACA
Molecule: ribosomal RNA, 322 nt
Filed under: uncultured eukaryote
Lineage: Eukaryota
Description: partial 18S ribosomal RNA
Rfam family: Eukaryotic small subunit ribosomal RNA
Source: RNAcentral